Molecule: transfer RNA, 159 nt
Filed under: Halobacterium hubeiense
Lineage: Archaea; Methanobacteriati; Methanobacteriota; Halobacteria; Halobacteriales; Halobacteriaceae
Description: tRNA-Met
Rfam family: tRNA
About the family: Transfer RNA (tRNA) molecules are approximately 80 nucleotides in length. Their secondary structure includes four short double-helical elements and three loops (D, anti-codon, and T loops).
Source: RNAcentral
GCCCGGGUGGCUUAGCUGGUCAUAGCGCCGCACUCAUAGGGUUCCGAGCUUCGGUGCGGCAUCCCACUCGCCACGUGGAUGCUCAGCAUGUCCGCGAGGCCCGCCGAGCCUCGAACCUGGGACAUGCGGAGAUCGAGGGUUCAAAACCCUCCCCGGGCA